AGCACGGAGGCUCUGCCCCGGGAGAGGUGCCGGGAGGCAGGGGGGGUCGUGCAGAAGGCAGCAGGCACGAGCUGCCAGCCGCUCCUCCGACGUUGCGUCACCUGCUGCCACGCGGGUAUCCAUGGGCUGGUCAACUAUCUUAACCUUCUGGGAAUUAUAUGGAUCCUCUUGGACGCCAGGAAGGUCAUGGCUACCGAAGGGGGGUCCUGGAAAUGCAACAGAUUGUACUCCAGGCUGCGCAUAAGUCUCACGAAUACCUGGGGCCGCACUAGCAACCAGCCAGUAUGGCUGUGCCCCUACCCGUACCACGUGCUGGCAGAGCCCAGGCGAUAGUCACUUCCUGGGACAGAUCUGUGCAUUUUCUGUGACGUAACAGGCCCCCAGGAUCAUAUGUGCAUAUAAAAGGGAAUGGGAACCCAAAGAGGACGAUGAUCAGGACAGAGAAUUACAGCAGUAGAAACGGAAACAAACCAGGAGACACAGUCCCAACACCAUGACAGAGAUUUUGUGAAGAGAAUCGUUCGAAAACAAAACUGGCCUCCCUGCGUCUGUGAGAAAACAUUUCAAAAGCUCGUGGGGGGAGGCCAACUUCCUCUAUGCGGAGCCCAUUCAUUCUCCGAAGAGCAGGAGGCAUAAUCAAUCAGACGGCUACGUUGGAGGGGACUCUCCGGGUGACCGCUCCAAGGUGACUUAGCCUGUGUUUCCUCCAUUUGGUCAGAGACGAAAUGGGCCAUUAUUUGGGCAAACACUACAGAAAUCAACUGAGACUCAACUAUUGGUUGCUACAGCACAGAGCUCUACUGCACAAUUACUAACAGUUGACUGCACCCUUAAGUACUGAUAAUGCAAAAAACAGAGUCAUUUCUCAUCAUUGGUAAAGCAUGAGAGGAUCUGAACAGUGAUCUUGAACCAAAGUAUCGUCAGCACGAGAAGGUUACAGUAUUUGGCAUCUGCAAUGUCACAAAAUAAAUAUAUUAUUCUCUCAAUAGUGUGGAACUACCAAAAUGUCAAAGUGCUUAAGAAAUUGUUGCAUGUGAAGAAAAUAAAGAAAGAUGGAUUUUUUUUUUAAUAAUUCUAUACAGAAUCUUCAGAUGAUGGGACCAGCCCAUUUAGAAAUCAGUGACUAUGCUGUCGAUAUGUAAACUGAAAUCUUGCAGGCUUUUCAACACUGCUCAGCUAUAUUUUCUCUAUUGAGUUUCUACAAAAAGACCAGCAUUGGAGGGGUACCAAAUACACGGACAAAAGAGAAAAGGAAGAUGGACUGCUAGGUUUCUUCUUUUAAAAUAUUUCAUAGGAGAAUUGGGUUUCAAGCAGGAAGCCGGGACUUCUACCUCUGGUUCUUAAAUUAACUUUCUGAGUGCAGUGGAAAAUAGGCAUGGAUUUAUAAUUUGACUAUCUCACAUGCUCACACAUGAUCAUACUCAAUUUCUAAAGGCCUCCUUCGCAAAGAAAUUUAUCACAGUGGGGGAGAAAAACAUAAUUCCACCUGUAAACACGGAUUCAAAGAGGAAAUCAAAAUCACACAGGAAGCGUUAAGUUUCCUGUUUGAUACUGUGUUUCAGGGUAAAUGACAGCUUCUGCAAACCAAGACUCAGUCCUGAUUAUAAAGGAUUUUUUAAAAUUACAUUAUUAAAAAUAGGUAUUUCCUCUUCUUUCAUUCUAUCUAUUUCCAAAGCCUCUUUCAAGUAAACUGUGAGGAACCUGAGGACAGGCGACCAUUACGUCACGGCCUUUCCUUUAUCUCAAGCACUCACUGUGUCUGCAUUUGCUCUGCAACCAGUUUCCACAAGAAGGAAUUAGGCAGGACCUCCUUGUGCUUUUCCCUCGCCUUUAAAUCCA
Physeter macrocephalus (sperm whale) is the source of this 1839-nucleotide long non-coding RNA. RefSeq lists it as uncharacterized. NCBI's taxonomy places the organism in Eukaryota, Metazoa, Chordata, Mammalia, Artiodactyla, Physeteridae. The record is from RefSeq and is a predicted model, not a curated record. The transcript is spliced from 2 exons.